GACGAACGCUGGCGGCGUGCCUAAUACAUGCAAGUAGAACGCUGAAGAGAGGAGCUUGCUCUUCUUGGAUGAGUUGCGAACGGGUGAGUAACGCGUAGGUAACCUGCCUUGUAGCGGGGGAUAACUAUUGGAAACGAUAGCUAAUACCGCAUAACAAUGGAUGACACAUGUCAUUUAUUCGAAAGGGGCAAUUGCUCCACUACAAGAUGGACCUGCGUUGUAUUAGCUAGUAGGUGAGGUAACGGCUCACCUAGGCGACGAUACAUAGCCGACCUGAGAGGGUGAUCGGCCACACUGGGACUGAGACACGGCCCAGACUCCUACGGGAGGCAGCAGUAGGGAAUCUUCGGCAAUGGGGGCAACCCUGACCGAGCAACGCCGCGUGAGUGAAGAAGGUUUUCGGAUCGUAAAGCUCUGUUGUAAGUCAAGAACGAGUGUGAGAGUGGAAAGUUCACACUGUGACGGUAGCUUACCAGAAAGGGACGGCUAACUACGUGCCAGCAGCCGCGGUAGUACGUAGGUCCCGAGCGUUGUCCGGAUUUAUUGGGCGUAAAGCGAGCGCAGGCGGUUUGAUAAGUCUGAAGUUAAAGGCUGUGGCUCAACCAUAGUUCGCUUUGGAAACUGUCAAACUUGAGUGCAGAAGGGGAGAGUGGAAUUCCAUGUGUAGCGGUGAAAUGCGUAGAUAUAUGGAGGAACACCGGUGGCGAAAGCGGCUCUCUGGUCUGUAACUGACGCUGAGGCUCGAAAGCGUGGGGAGCGAACAGGAUUAGAUACCCUGGUAGUCCACGCCGUAAACGAUGAGUGCUAGGUGUUGGAUCCUUUCCGGGAUUCAGUGCCGCAGCUAACGCAUUAAGCACUCCGCCUGGGGAGUACGACCGCAAGGUUGAAACUCAAAGGAAUUGACGGGGGCCCGCACAAGCGGUGGAGCAUGUGGUUUAAUUCGAAGCAACGCGAAGAACCUUACCAGGUCUUGACAUCCCGAUGCUAUUUCUAGAGAUAGAAAGUUACUUCGGUACAUCGGUGACAGGUGGUGCAUGGUUGUCGUCAGCUCGUGUCGUGAGAUGUUGGGUUAAGUCCCGCAACGAGCGCAACCCCUAUUGUUAGUUGCCAUCAUUCAGUUGGGCACUCUAGCGAGACUGCCGGUAAUAAACCGGAGGAAGGUGGGGAUGACGUCAAAUCAUCAUGCCCCUUAUGACCUGGGCUACACACGUGCUACAAUGGUUGGUACAACGAGUUGCGAGUCGGUGACGGCAAGCUAAUCUCUUAAAGCCAAUCUCAGUUCGGAUUGUAGGCUGCAACUCGCCUACAUGAAGUCGGAAUCGCUAGUAAUCGCGGAUCAGCACGCCGCGGUGAAUACGUUCCCGGGCCU
Molecule: ribosomal RNA, 1369 nt
Filed under: uncultured bacterium
Lineage: Bacteria
Description: bacterial SSU rRNA
Rfam family: Bacterial small subunit ribosomal RNA
Source: RNAcentral